Morus notabilis is the source of this 135-nucleotide non-coding RNA. NCBI's taxonomy places the organism in Eukaryota, Viridiplantae, Streptophyta, Magnoliopsida, Rosales, Moraceae. The record is from Rfam.
AGGCGAUGAUGACAAAAUUUACGUUUCUCGAUUCUGAAUUAUGUAUAUUUGACAAUAUACAUAAUAGACCAAUUAUGCAAUGUUUCUACUUAUACAUUGCACUUUGAUGACAUUAUUUGUGCGUGUCUGAGCCUU